ACGAACGCUGGCGGCGUGCCUAAUACAUGCAAGUCGAGCGGACGGAUGGGAGCUUGCUCCCAGACCGUCAGCGGCGGACGGGUGAGUAACACGUGGGCAACCUGCCUGUAAGACUGGGAUAACUCCGGGAAACCGGGGCUAAUACCGGAUAACUCUUUCCCUCACAUGAGGGAAAGCUGAAAGAUGGCAUCUCGCUAUCACUUACAGAUGGGCCCGCGGCGCAUUAGCUAGUUGGUGAGGUAACGGCUCACCAAGGCGACGAUGCGUAGCCGACCUGAGAGGGUGAUCGGCCACACGGGGACUGAGACACGGCCCAGACUCCGACGGGAGGCAGCAGUAGGGAAUCUUCCGCAAUGGACGAAAGUCUGACGGAGCAACGCCGCGUGAGUGAUGAAGGUUUUCGGAUCGUAAAACUCUGUUAUCAGGGAAGAACAAGUACCGGAGUAACUGCCGGUACCUUGACGGUACCUGACCAGAAAGCCACGGCUAACUACGUG
Molecule: ribosomal RNA, 497 nt
Filed under: uncultured bacterium
Lineage: Bacteria
Description: partial 16S ribosomal RNA
Rfam family: Bacterial small subunit ribosomal RNA
Source: RNAcentral